RNAcentral lists this ribosomal RNA (375 nucleotides) under uncultured bacterium. Its description in RNAcentral is "bacterial SSU rRNA". It matches the Rfam family "Bacterial small subunit ribosomal RNA", at positions 521 to 896 of the family's 1533-position model. The record is from RNAcentral.
UAAUACGAAGGGGGCUAGCGUUGCUCGGAAUCACUGGGCGUAAAGGGCGCGUAGGCGGCCGUAUAAGUCGAGGGUGAAAGCCUGUGGCUCAACCACAGAAUUGCCUCCGAUACUGUAUGGCUAGAGACCGGAAGAGGUAAGUGGAACUGCGAGUGUAGAGGUGAAAUUCGUAGAUAUUCGCAAGAACACCAGUGGCGAAGGCGGCUUACUGGUCCGGUUCUGACGCUGAGGCGCGAAAGCGUGGGGAGCAAACAGGAUUAGAUACCCUGGUAGUCCACGCCGUAAACUAUGAAUGCUAGCCGUUGGCAAGCUUGCUUGUCAGUGGCGCAGUUAACACAUUAAGCAUUCCGCCUGGGGAGUACGAUCGCAAGAUUA